ACUCCUACGGGAGGCAGCAGUGAGGAAUAUUGGACAAUGGACGCAAGUCUGAUCCAGCCAUGCCGCGUGCAGGAAGAAUGCCCUAUGGGUUGUAAACUGCUUUUAUUUGGGAAUAAACCCCUUCUCGUGAGGAGGGCUGAAGGUACCAAACGAAUAAGCACCGGCUAACUCCGUGCCAGCAGCCGCGGUAAUACGGAGGGGUGCAAGCGUUAUCCGGAAUCAUUGGGUUUAAAGGGUCCGCAGGCGGACGUAUAAGUCAGUGGUGAAAGCCUACAGCUUAACUGUAGAACUGCCAUUGAUACUGUAUGUCUUGAAUUCGGUCGGAGUGGGCGGAAUGUGUCAUGUAGCGGUGAAAUGCAUAGAUAUGACACAGAACACCGAUAGCGAAGGCAGCUCACUAGGCCUGAAUUGACGCUCAGGGACGAAAGCGUGGGGAGCGAACAGGAUUAGAUACCCUGGUAGACUGUCA
This 469-nucleotide ribosomal RNA is filed under the name uncultured bacterium. RNAcentral's name for it is "bacterial SSU rRNA". It matches the Rfam family "Bacterial small subunit ribosomal RNA", at positions 335 to 802 of the family's 1533-position model. The record is from RNAcentral.